AGCUACGUAUGGACGGGAUAAGUGCUGAAAGCAUCUAAGCAUGAAGCCCCCCUCAAGAUGAGAUUUCCCAUGGCGUAAGCCAGUAAGACCCCUUAGAGAUGAUGAGGUUGAUAGGUCAGAAGUGGAAGUGUGGCGACACAUGGAGCGGACUGAUACUAAUCGGUCGAGGGCUUAUCCUAAAUUU
RNAcentral lists this ribosomal RNA (184 nucleotides) under Bacillus sp. C1-1. Its description in RNAcentral is "partial 23S ribosomal RNA". It matches the Rfam family "Bacterial large subunit ribosomal RNA", at positions 2747 to 2925 of the family's 2925-position model. The record is from RNAcentral. Lineage: Bacteria; Bacillati; Bacillota; Bacilli; Caryophanales; Bacillaceae.